GAUAUGAUCAUACUCUGGGCUCUCUCUCUCUCUUUUUACUCAUGCUCCAUGAAAAUCUUUAUUCCUCAACUCUGAUUGCAGAGAUAAAACCACUGACCCCACCUCAGACAAGGCUCCCAUUGAGGCUAUCAGGACCCGAAUACCUUUUCAUUGAGCCAAUGUCACUGAGAUGAAGCUGGACGCCUGAUCAUGUAGACAGUGAAAAAGACUUUGCAUUUUGUUCUAAAUCUUAUGAGAAGUCAUAAACGGGAGGGUUUUGCUCACAGGCACUCUCCUAGCGGCUGUGACUCAAGAAGCUCGAGGCUGCCCAACAUGCCAGGCCUGUGAAACCAUCUGAAAGAAGCAUAAGAUGUGCUUCCUGCCUUCAUGCAGCUUCAAACCUUAAUAAUCCACAGGGAGAGCUUUGAGACUUAUGGAAACCAUCAGACUGCUUUAUCUGACCAAACCUCAAAGGAGGUUGAACUGGGAAGAGAGAGUCUGUUGACUCCAAGGCCAUCCCCAGCCUCCCACACUCACUCCUGAUCCUUUGGGAAGACCUGUGCCUUCGCUCGUUCCUGUGGCAGCAGCAAUCCACCCCUUUCAGAAGCUGUACGUCUCUCUCCAGUUUGCGUGGAAUUCUUGGAUAGGACCCAAGUUCUACUGGGACUGGUACCUGAAGCAGAGAGAGGAUAGAGAGGAGAGGGAUGGACUCCUGCACCUGACCUCUUGGACUGGUUGGAAAAACUGAUUCAACAGGAAGUCAAGAGCUCCGACUCCAAAAGCUGACCUUUGGUGUGCGGAAUCCUGGCUCUGCUGCUCACUCCUUAGAUAAUCUCAGUAGGGAAAAGUUCUAUGGAAAGCCCUGAAAUAGCAACAGCCAAAAAGCCAACACAGAAUCCGCUCGGCUCCACUGGGCCCAAACUCUGCCAAAUACUUGUCAUCAAGUCACCAGUAGGACAUGGGAAGGAACCAAUGCUCGGGCGGCAGCGGCUCAGACUUGUGACUUGUGUCAUUAACCUCCCUAGAGAACUGAAGCCAAUGAGGAAGUCACUCGAAGAGCCCCUAGAAAGCCAAAAUACCAGCUAGAGCAAAAAUGCCCUCUGGGGAGGCAGCCAGUUAACCGCCUGUGUCCUGACUGGGCUGAGAGCUGAAAUGAUGCCUGGCAGUGGCCUUUCAAUCCUGCAGCCCAGAACCCCCAGCUUA
Molecule: long non-coding RNA, 1182 nt
Filed under: Equus caballus (horse)
Lineage: Eukaryota; Metazoa; Chordata; Mammalia; Perissodactyla; Equidae
Description: lncRNA (ENSECAG00000044982.1)
Source: RNAcentral